Molecule: ribosomal RNA, 484 nt
Filed under: uncultured bacterium
Lineage: Bacteria
Description: partial 16S ribosomal RNA
Rfam family: Bacterial small subunit ribosomal RNA
Source: RNAcentral
AUUGAACGCUGGCGGCAGGCCUAACACAUGCGAGUCGAGCGGAUGAAGGGAGCUUGCUCCUGGAUUCAGCGGCGGACGGGUGAGUAAUGCCUAGGAAUCUGCCUGGUAGUGGGGGAUAACGUCCGGAAACGGGCGCUAAUACCGCAUACGUCCUGAGGGAGAAAGUGGGGGAUCUUCGGACCUCACGCUAUCAGAUGAGCCUAGGUCGGAUUAGCUAGUUGGUGGGGUAAAGGCCUACCAAGGCGACGAUCCGUAACUGGUUUGAGAGGAUGAUCAGUCACACUGGAACUGAGACACGGUCCAGACUCCUACGGGAGGCAGCAGUGGGGAAUAUUGGACAAUGGGCGAAAGCCUGAUCCAGCCAUGCCGCGUGUGUGAAGAAGGUCUUCGGAUUGUAAAGCACUUUAAGUUGGGAGGAAGGGCAGUAAGUUAAUACCUUGCUGUUUUGACGUUACCAACAGAAUAAGCACCGGCUAACUUCGUG